AACGAACGCUGGCGGCAUGCCUAAUACAUGCAAGUCGAACGAGAUCUUCGGAUCUAGUGGCGCACGGGUGCGUAACGCGUGGGAAUCUACCCUUGGGUUCGGAAUAACAGUUAGAAAUGACUGCUAAUACCUGAUGAUGACGUAAGUCCAAAGAUUUAUCGCCCAAGGAUGAGCCCGCGUAGGAUUAGCUUGUUGGUGAGGUAAAAUGCUCACCAAGGCGACGAUCCUUAGCUGGUCUGAGAGGAUGAUCAGCCACACUGGGACUGAGACACGGCCCGAGACUCCUACGGGAGGCAGCAGUAGGGAAUAUUGGACAAUGGGUCGAAAGCCUGAUCCAGCAAUGCCGCGUGAGCGAUGAAGGCCUUAGGG
Molecule: ribosomal RNA, 369 nt
Filed under: uncultured bacterium
Lineage: Bacteria
Description: bacterial SSU rRNA
Rfam family: Bacterial small subunit ribosomal RNA
Source: RNAcentral